GGGGAUUUAGCUCAGCGACAUAAGCGCCUGCCUUGCAAGCAGGCAGUUGUGAGUUCAAUCCCCA
RNAcentral lists this transfer RNA (64 nucleotides) under Cavia porcellus (domestic guinea pig). It matches the Rfam family "tRNA", at positions 1 to 62 of the family's 71-position model. From Rfam's summary of the family: Transfer RNA (tRNA) molecules are approximately 80 nucleotides in length. The record is from Rfam by way of RNAcentral. Lineage: Eukaryota; Metazoa; Chordata; Mammalia; Rodentia; Caviidae.